CCUACGGGAGGCAGCAGUGAGGAAUAUUGGUCAAUGGACGAGAGUCUGAACCAGCCAAGUAGCGUGAAGGAUGACUGCCCUAUGGGUUGUAAACUUCUUUUAUAUGGGAAUAAAAUGUUCCACGUGUGGGAUUUUGUAUGUACCAUAAGAAUACGGCUCGGCUAACUCCGUGCCAGCAGCCGCGGUAAUACGGAGGAUCUGAGCGUUAUCCGGAUUUAUUGGGUUUAAAGGGAGCGUAGGUGGAUUGUUAAGUCAGUUGUGAAAGUUUGCGGCUCAACCGUAAAAUUGCAGUUGAAACUGGCAGUCUUGAGUACAGUAGAGGUGGGCGGAAGUCGUGGUGUAGCGGUGAAAUGCUUAGAUAUCACGAAGAACUCCGAUGGCGAAGGCAGCUCACUGGACUACAACUGACACUGAGGCUCGAAAGUGUGGGGAUCAAACAGGAUUAGAUACCCUUGUAGUC
This 460-nucleotide ribosomal RNA is filed under the name uncultured bacterium. Its description in RNAcentral is "partial 16S ribosomal RNA". It matches the Rfam family "Bacterial small subunit ribosomal RNA", at positions 338 to 795 of the family's 1533-position model. The record is from RNAcentral.